AUGCACGCUGGCGGCGUGCCUAAUACAUGCAAGUCGCGCGGACAGACGAGGAGCUUGCUCCUCUGACGUUAGCGGCGGACGGGUGAGUAACACGUGGAUAACCUACCUAUAAGACUGGGAUAACUUCGGGAAACCGGAGCUAAUACCGGAUAAUAUAUUGAGCCGCAUGGUUCAAUAGUGAAAGACGGUUUUGCUGUCACUUAUAGAUGGAUCCGCGCCGCAUUAGCUAGUUGGUAAGGUAACGGCUUACCAAGGCAACGAUGCGUAGCCGACCUGAGAGGGUGAUCGGCCACACUGGAACUACGACACCGUCCAGCCUCCUACGGGAGGCAGCGUUACGGAAUUUUCCGCAAGGGGCGAAAGCUUGCCGGAGCCACGCCGCGUGAGUGAUGAAGGUCUUCGGAUCGUAAACCUCUGUUAUUAGGGAAGAACAAAUGUGUAAGUAACUAUGCACGUCUUGACGGUACCUAAUCAGAAAGCCACGGCUAACUACGUG
RNAcentral lists this ribosomal RNA (496 nucleotides) under uncultured bacterium. Its description in RNAcentral is "partial 16S ribosomal RNA". It matches the Rfam family "Bacterial small subunit ribosomal RNA", at positions 29 to 507 of the family's 1533-position model. The record is from RNAcentral.